Non-coding RNA from Heligmosomoides polygyrus, 75 nucleotides. The record is from Rfam. Lineage: Eukaryota; Metazoa; Nematoda; Chromadorea; Rhabditida; Heligmosomidae.
GCGCCGGUGGUGUAAAGGAGUAGAGCAUUCCCGCCCGGUCAGAGGGAGGUGCGGGUUCGAGUCCCGCCUGGCGCU